UACGGAGGGUGCAAGCAUUAAUCGGAUUUAUUGGGCGUAAAGGGCGCGUAGGCGGUUCUGCAAGUCAGAUGUGAAAUCCCGGGGCUCAACCCCGGAACAGCAUUUGAAACUACAGGACUAGAGGGUAGGCGGAGAAAACGGAAUUCCACAAGUAGCGGUGAAAUGCGUAGAUAUGUGGAAGAACAUCGGUGGCGAAGGCGGUUUUCUAGCUUAUUUCCUGACGCUGAGGCGCGAAAGCAAGGGGAUCAAACAGG
This 254-nucleotide ribosomal RNA is filed under the name uncultured bacterium. RNAcentral's name for it is "partial 16S ribosomal RNA". It matches the Rfam family "Bacterial small subunit ribosomal RNA", at positions 524 to 776 of the family's 1533-position model. The record is from RNAcentral.